CCGGUUCCCCUUGCGGCCUCUGCCACGGUGGUUCGGGAGGCGGCGCGCGGGCCGGGGUGGAGGUGCACGGAGCCGCGGGCGGGGACUGCUGGCCACCACCGUUCUGACUCCCGCCGUCGGGGCGGGAGCUCGCUCGGUCCAAGGUCCCAGAGCCGGAUCGCCGCCCUUGGACUUUGAGCGGGCGCGUGCGGCGGCCACGUGGGCGAGGAGCGCGGGCCGGGCUGCCUCUCGGGGGUGGCGGCCUUGGUUCCUCCCGCGGGGCUGGGCUUGCCGGGGCCCGGAGCCCGCCGGGAAGAGUUCGGAAAUCACACGUGUCCUUUUUCCCGCUCUGUGCCCUCCUUGUUUAGUGCGUUGCCGGUGGGCGCUUUAGGAAAUUGGUAGGAGGAAAAGCGGCUUCUUUUGAAAAGGUAACCCUUAACAGAGAUGAAAGUGAAAGCCAGGUUUCAUUGGGAAGCCGAUCUGCACCUACCGAGGGCUGUAACUUAAAGCCGCUGUAAACGUGGUAGCUGAUCCUUGUAUGCAAAGGUUUAGGCCCUAAGCUUAGAAACUGUUCCUUGCUUGCCUUCUACCCCGCUCCUCUUUUUCUAGAAUUCUCUUAGGAAUCUCUGGCUUCAUUGAGGACACAGGUGUAAGCAGAAGCUGUGUUCUCAGCUCCAAGAGGCCGACCCCACGAAAGCCUAAGCAGGUGAAUUUCGUAAAGACGUUGACAGUUGGAAAACCUGUGCUUUCAGCACGUGAUAAAUCUGCAGAGUCAGCAGACAAUGAAGAUUUGGCAUUCAAGAACUCCUCAAAUACUUCUCGAUAGUAGCUAUUCAGAGCCUGCCUUGAUAGACCGAACUUGCUCAUAUUUAAAUCAUUAAGAUAGAGGAAAGAAUGUAACAACUUUUUAAAAUGUUUCUUACCCCAUAAAUACUUGAAGAAGAUAUGUUAUAUUGGACCAUGGAUCUUUCUGGGGGGGAGGGGAGAAGAAAGCAAAAGUAAAGUUUAAAUUUACAUUCAACCUUAAUUUGAUUGUAUAUAUUUGUGACCAAAUGAAUUAGUGCACAGUUGACCAUACAACUGAUUAUGCAACAGUGAGUGUAACUGACUUUUCUUUUGGCUAAGCUAAUGAUGACUAAAGAAGGUCCUUCUGUUGCUCUGUCUUCAAGUCAUCAGGGGGUCAUACUACCUAUAUUUUUGAACCAAUAUGAAAUAACCCUUUUUCUUUAUUUUUCUGAGACAAUCUCACCCUGUCGUCCAGGCUGGAGUGCAGCGGUGUAAUCAUGCCUCACUGCAGCCUUGAUCUCCUGGGCUCAAGCCAUCCUCCCACCUCAGUCUCCCCAGUAGCAGGGACAAGAGGUACAGGCCACCACACCUGACUAUUGGCCCUUUUUUUUUUAUUAGCAAUAACAAUAAAGAGCUUUUUUCACAAUUGCCAUCAGCCUCUGGCUCUUGAAGAGAAAUUUAAGCAUGUCAACUGAAUUAUGUUAACCAUGUUUUAGGUGAAGACUAUUUUAUCGAUACUCAAGAGUUGUGAGAAACUUGAAGACACUGAGAUAAGGGAAUUGAAUUUAAGGCUAAUAAGGAUCCCUUCCUUACUUAACACUGAAGUUCAUUUUAGUUCACAGUACAGGCCCUAUGGCCCAACAGAAGGACAAUAACAAUCAAACCUGGACUAAGCCUUAACGGACUGAGUGCAUCUAAAAUGUUGUACCUGAGCCAGGCACAGUGCUUCACACCUGUAAUCCUAACACUUUGGGAGGCUGAGAUGGGAGGAUCACUUGGGGCCAGGAGUGGGAGAUGGGAGAAUCACUUGGGACCAGCCUGUGCUGUAGAGCCUAGGUAACAGAGACACUGUCCCUAUAAAAAAAAUUAGCUGGAGGCCGGGCACGGUGAUUGAUGCCUGUAAUCCCAGCACUUUGGGAGGCUGAGGUAGGCGGAUCACAAGGUCAGGAGUUUGGAGUUUGAGACCAGCCUGGCCAAUAUGGUGAAACCCCAUCUCUACUAAAAAUACAAAAAUUAGCCGGGCAUGGUGGCACGUGCCUGUAGUCCCAGCUACCCGGGAAGCUGAGGCAGAGCAAUCGCUUGAACCCGGGAGACGGAGGCUGAAGUGAGCCGAGAUCGCGCCACUCCACUCCCGCCUGGGCAACAGAGUGAGACUCCGUCUCAAAAAAAAAAAAAAAAAAACUGGGCAGG
RNAcentral lists this long non-coding RNA (2175 nucleotides) under Homo sapiens (human). RNAcentral describes it as "non-protein coding lnc-FAM208B-5:5". The record is from RNAcentral. Lineage: Eukaryota; Metazoa; Chordata; Mammalia; Primates; Hominidae.